Molecule: unclassified non-coding RNA, 379 nt
Filed under: Pseudognaphalium sp. CHR417446
Lineage: Eukaryota; Viridiplantae; Streptophyta; Magnoliopsida; Asterales; Asteraceae
Description: partial external transcribed spacer
Source: RNAcentral
UGAGUGGUGUUUGGUUUGUUACGGGUGGUUGGCUCUUUGCUUGCGCAACAACUUCUACCUGGCAUACCUCUUCAGUCUUGUGUCAAUGCUUGUAUUGCAUUGAAUGCACGGUGGGUUUCUUGUGUUGCAUGCCUAAUUUAAUGGUAUUGCUUGAUGUAUUGGUUUUCCUUUCGUUUUGCAUUGCCUAUGCGAUGUGAGAUGAACCUUGAAGCAGCCUUUGUGAUCCACUGAUUUGAUGUAUAUGCAUUGAUUUUGUGGCCCAUUGAGUGUUGCUCGGUCUCAUGGAUAUGGAACCUGGUGUGGGCAUGGAAUCUUAAUGGUUCCUUGUUUGCCCAAGUUUAGCUUUUCUAAAACGAUUGUCUAUCAUGUGUUAACAUGC